Molecule: long non-coding RNA, 1894 nt
Organism: Rosa rugosa (rugosa rose)
Lineage: Eukaryota; Viridiplantae; Streptophyta; Magnoliopsida; Rosales; Rosaceae
Exons: 8
Source: RefSeq, a predicted model, not a curated record
CUACUAAAAAUCUGUUCAUAGACAUCGCAUGUUUUAAAUCGGUCAGACUUGCACACGAUGUAAAAACGUAAUCUAACAUCGUUUUACGAAAAUACCGAUUUAAAUGUAUAUCAUUAACAUCGGGUCUUAAAAUGACCGGUGUUAAAAGUUUUGUUUGAAAAUUUGCGGAAACCUAUUUUUGCAAAACGCGCUAAGUAUUUUAAGUGAAUUGAAGAAGCGGGUACUAAAUCUAAAAACUUUCACACUUAGAAAAAAAUUUGCGCCCGACCCCAAAACUGAAACAGAAAACCCUAGCGAGACUCCUUCAUUCUAAACUCACCCCAAACUGGAUCUCCUCCCAAACUCAACCUCCAUUCUGGACUCUAAGCUUACUCGAACUCGAUCGCCGCCAUUCUAGAGCUCCUCAUUGCUUCCUUCUUCUACGUCCUCAGCUUAUUCGGCAUUGACUCCGUCCAGUCCGUCAUCUUACGCGCCUCCCACUACGACGGUGACGACGUCCUCAUCAACUCCCGCUGCUGCCCUCCCCCUGCCAAACCCAAAUUCGCUUUCUUCUGCUUGAGGGAUUCGAGUUGAUUUUGCUUCCUCCAAAACCUUUUUCAACUCUUCACAGUUCGCCCUCCAAAGCGUUUUGUCCGAGCUCGUUGAAGGACAAGGUUUAUAGGAUCUUCUGCAGGGAAAAGCGUAAGCUCGCCGGUAGAAAGGGUAAGCUUCGUGAUACUUCGCUUUUCUUUUAAGCUCUAUCGUGAACUGGAUUUUUCAAUUUCCGAUUUCAGAUUUGUUUGGAAUCAUUCGGUUGUAGAGAAACUGUAUUAGAACUAUGUCUCCACUGGUGUCUAUGUUGAGAAUCGGUGCUCGGAUAAAAUCACUCAGCUCAUGGAUAAUGUCUACGUCUGUCGCUCUGGAUCGGCUGCAGAUUCUCAGGUUGUUUUCUACUAUGUGAGGCACUUUGUUCAUCAGCACACCGUUCAGCUAUGGCAGCCUGCUACUGUCAAAGUUGUUGCUAAUCUCAUCAGGCUACUGUGAUAUGGCAACAACGUUAGGUUUGAAUAUGUUGCAAACUGGAAAAAAAGGAUGAUAUCUUUAGGUGCUGAUCUCCGGAAGGGAAGAGCCAGAGGCUCUUCUUUCCCCUGCAAUGGAUGCUGUAAUAAGAGUAUUCAAACGUGUCGCUGGAUUAUCUGAGAGUGCAGGCGAGGCAGAGUUGUCUGGUGCUGCUGGAGUUGCAUUCUGUUCCAUCCGUUUGUUGGUAGCAUCCACACAAGCGAUUAAUUUAAUUGGAAAACAAGGAUCAUUAAUCAAAUCUAUACAGGAGAGUACCGCUGCUUCUAUGCGAGUAUUGUCUGGAGAUUAUGCAAACAAUGCAAAUUCCUCUGUCUUAUGCUGAGGACAUUAUUGGGGUUGAAGGAAGGAGUAUUGAAUUUAUUCAUUGUAGUAGUGGAGCCUUGUUAACUGUACAAGAGAGCAGGGGACUACCUGAUGAAAUUACAGUGGAAAUAAAAGGCACCUCAUCACAGGUUCAGGCGGCUCAACAACUGAUUCAGGGCCUUGGAUUACAAGUUGUGAAAUAUUUGGCUGCCAAAUAUGAAGAGCUAGGGUGUGAAGUGAAAUGGAUGGGCAAGCCUGAUAAGGUGAUCUAGUCACAUUGGUCUGGUUACCGCUGUUAACUUCACUUCAUGUGAACCUUUAGCUUAAUACAUAUUUCUCUUGCACUUGACUACCAAGAUGAAUUUUGAGCAAGGCUAGUUUUUGCUUUGAAGCAAAGUUUGGUGUUGAAAUUUUGUAGAUUGUUGCUCAUAUGUUUCUAGGCUAGCCUUUGUAGGUUUUGGGGUUUUCUUUUGUGACAUAUGUUCAAUCAUGAAUUUGGAAAGAAAAUUAAUGGAAAGCCCCAAUUUUUGGA